This 406-nucleotide ribosomal RNA is filed under the name uncultured microorganism. Its description in RNAcentral is "bacterial SSU rRNA". It matches the Rfam family "Archaeal small subunit ribosomal RNA", at positions 330 to 743 of the family's 1478-position model. The record is from RNAcentral.
GCGCAGCAGGCGAGAAUACUUUACAAUGUGCGAAAGCACGAUAAGGGAACUCUGAGUGCCUCCUAAGGAGGCUGUUCAGGUGUCUAAAAGCACCUGAAGGAAGGGCUGGGUAAGACCGGUGCCAGCCGCCGCGGUAACACCGGCAGCCCAAGUGGUAGCCACGUUUAUUGGGUCUAAAGCGUCCGUAGCCGGCUGGGUAAGUUCCUUGGGAAAUUUGGCUGCUUAACAGUCAAGCUUUCAGGGAAUACUGCUCGGCUUGGGACCGGGAGAGGUCAGAGGUACUCCAGGGGUAGGGUGAAAUCCAUUAAUCCUUGGGGGACCACCGGUAGCGAAGGCGUCUGACCAGACCGGGUCCGACGGUGAGGGACGAAGGCUAGGGGCGCGAACCGGAUUAGAUACCCGUGUA